This 253-nucleotide ribosomal RNA is filed under the name uncultured bacterium. RNAcentral's name for it is "partial 16S ribosomal RNA". It matches the Rfam family "Bacterial small subunit ribosomal RNA", at positions 524 to 776 of the family's 1533-position model. The record is from RNAcentral.
UACGAGGGGGGCGAGCGUUGUUCGGAAUUAUUGGGCGUAAAGGGUGCGUAGGCGGUUUCGCAAGUCCUGUGUGAAAUCUUCGGGCUCAACUCGAAGUCUGCACGGGAAACUGCGGGGCUUGAGUGUGGGAGAGGUGAGUGGAAUUCUCGGUGUAGAGGUGAAAUUCGUAGAUAUCGAGAGGAACACCGGUGGCGAAGGCGGCUUUCUGGACGAUAACUGACGCUGAGACGCGAAAGCGUGGGGAGCAAACAGG